AGGGAAUAUUGGGCAAUGGGCGAGAGCCUGACCCAGCCAUGCCGCGUGCAGGAAGAAGGCUUUCUGAGUCGUAAACUGCUUUUGACAGGGAAGAAUAAGCACUACGUGUAGUGCGAUGACGGUACCUGCAGAAUAAGCACCGGCUAACUCCGUGCCAGCAGCCGCGGUAAUACGGAGGGUGCGAGCGUUGUCCGGAUUUAUUGGGUUUAAAGGGUGCGUAGGCGGCUCCUUAAGUCCGGGGUGAAAGCCCGCUGCUCAACAGCGGAACUGCCCUGGAUACUGAGGAGCUUGAGUACAGACGAGGUUGGCGGAAUGGACCGAGUAGCGGUGAAAUGCAUAGAUACGGUCCAGAACCCCGAUUGCGAAGGCAGCUGACUAGGCUGUUACUGACGCUGAGGCACGACAGCGUGGGGAGCGAAC
RNAcentral lists this ribosomal RNA (420 nucleotides) under uncultured bacterium. RNAcentral describes it as "bacterial SSU rRNA". It matches the Rfam family "Bacterial small subunit ribosomal RNA", at positions 356 to 773 of the family's 1533-position model. The record is from RNAcentral.